UACAGAGGGUGCGAGCGUUAAUCGGAAUUACUGGGCGUAAAGCGCACGUAGGCGGCUUUGCAAGUCGAGUGUGAAAUCCCCAGGCUUAACCUGGGAACUGCAUUCGAGACUGCAUAGCUAGAGUAUGGGAGAGGGAAGUGGAAUUUCAGGUGUAGCGGUGAAAUGCGUAGAUAUCUGAAGGAACAUCAGUGGCGAAAGCGACUUCCUGGACCAAUACUGACGCUCAUGUGCGAAAGCGUGGGGAGCAAACAGG
Molecule: ribosomal RNA, 253 nt
Filed under: uncultured bacterium
Lineage: Bacteria
Description: partial 16S ribosomal RNA
Rfam family: Bacterial small subunit ribosomal RNA
Source: RNAcentral